RNAcentral lists this non-coding RNA (28 nucleotides) under Prorocentrum micans. Lineage: Eukaryota; Dinophyceae; Prorocentrales; Prorocentraceae. The record is from RNAcentral.
UUCUUUUUUUUUUUUUUUUUUUUUUUUU